RNAcentral lists this long non-coding RNA (714 nucleotides) under Carica papaya (papaya). Its description in RNAcentral is "long non-coding RNA (CPAP_LNC008332)". The record is from RNAcentral. Lineage: Eukaryota; Viridiplantae; Streptophyta; Magnoliopsida; Brassicales; Caricaceae.
AGGGAGAAUUUGUCAGAAUAGAGAAAGCUUAAAUUGAUUGCAUCGAACUUGAGGUAAGUGGAUGUUAUGAUUACAUAGUCUAUGUAGUUUUCAAGUGUUUUCCACUAUUUUAGACACAUUUUCAUAUAUAAAGUGCAAUUGAUUAUGAAAGUGAUAUUAUGCUUUAAGUGUUAUUUUGUCCAUGUGUUAUAAAAAGUGAUUCUGAUAAGUGUGCAUCACUCGUUAUCGAGGCAAGCCGUUUUAAAAGUACCUGCAUGUUCCAACAAGUCUGCACUCAGAGAAGAAGGUGUCGGGUCGAUCGCACUGCCCAGCAAGUUGACUACAACAACCGGCUCAAUAACAACUAUGGGCCCAGUCGACGAGAGAGCUGGGCGGACAGCAUAGUGGUAGGGCAUGAGGGUCGCGUGCACGCUUGCGGGCUUCCUUAGCGCGCACGGGUAAAGUGUGACAUGUGGGAGGGAAGGGAAGAGGUGGCAAGCUUUUUGGACUUCUUUUCACCACAUACUCCACGUGAUUUUUAAUCCUAAAUUCAGCACAUUCACAUGGCAAGUAUCUUUUAUUAUUUAAUUAUUAUUAUUUAAUUUAUUUAAAUUUUAAGUCUCUCCAAUGUUUAAUUAUACAAUAUUUUAACAUUAGGGAUAUCCUAAGUUAUUAUUUUAUUAUAUAAUUUAAUCAUAAAGUCUUAUCUUAUUAUUAUUUUAAUGUAAAUUAUAU